CAAUACGCGUUAGCGAUUGAAACGGUAUCCUUUUUGUUUUUCACAAAAAGAUUUAGUGGAAAGCGCGACCUUUA
This 74-nucleotide small RNA is filed under the name Polaribacter sp. KT 15. RNAcentral's name for it is "Flavo-1 RNA". It matches the Rfam family "Flavo-1 RNA". The record is from RNAcentral. Lineage: Bacteria; Pseudomonadati; Bacteroidota; Flavobacteriia; Flavobacteriales; Flavobacteriaceae.